GAAACGCGAUAGGUAAUGUGAAUUGCAGAAUUCCGUGAAUCAUCGAAUCUUUGAACGCACCUUGCGCUCUAUGGUAUUCCGUAGAGCAUGCCUGUUUGAGUGCCGUGAAUUCUCCCAUCCCAAGCGGUUUUUAUCAAAGAAUUGCUAGGCGAAGGGGUUGAGAUGGGCGUUGUUAUAACUGCUUUUCUUCUCUAGAAAAGCUCGCCCGAAAAACAGCUAACGCCUCUGGGCCACUUUGCAUCCGCUUCUCUGAGGGGAGAAGCGGCCAAGCGCGCUCUGAUCAUCAGGCAUAGCAUGAUACGUCAUUUGCUAUGCUGUAGGAGAGCAUUUGGUUGUGGUUAUACCGCGUGCGUUAUUUUUUUUUUGCAAACGCAAAGAAAAAAAAGCCCCCUUUCAUUUCUGGUCUCAAAUCAGGUAGGAUCACCCGCUGAACUUAAGC
This 439-nucleotide unclassified non-coding RNA is filed under the name plant metagenome. RNAcentral describes it as "partial contains 5.8S ribosomal RNA, internal transcribed spacer 2, and large subunit ribosomal RNA". The stretch from base 1 to 105 matches the Rfam family "5.8S ribosomal RNA", at positions 50 to 154 of the family's 154-position model. The record is from RNAcentral.